CCUGAGCUUAAUUUCAACGUCAGAAAAUGGAGGCUUUCAGAUUUUGCAGUUUGUAUUUACGGAGAUAGCAGCAUCUGUAUAGCAUACUCAAAUACUCCUGACCACAUGGCAACAGCAACCAUGGAGUGAUUUAACAGGACCUUCAUUUGGUGUCCAUAACGUGUAGAAUGUCUACAGCCAUUCUACCCUGAACAUUCCCGAUCUCAUCUGAUCUUGGAAGCUAAGGAGGGCCAAGCCUGGUGUGAGGUGUUUAUCUUUGAAAAGCAGGAGAUAGCCCUGCAAAGAAGAAACACAUACGCUGGAGAAUUGAAGAUUCAGGAAAUGGCUGACUAAAUUUAAAAAAAAAAACACCUACCAUAAAAACAAAACCGCAACCUAAAAAAACCUGACAGCAGAUAAAUUAAGAUGUUGUGCAGCAUAUGAUGGCUUCAACAAAACAACUUAUGAGUUCCCCUUGCUAAUUCAGAAAUACCUCAAAAUGACACAUCUGUAGCAACAAAAUGACACUUUUCUCUGAAUUAUUUUGCAAUUUUGUCUUGUAUUUCAUUUUUGGCAUGGGCUGUAAACUGUGCUAAUCUCUUGUCCAGAUAGGAUGUUAUACCAACUGGAAUAGUUUAAAAUUGUCAUUCAACAUAACCCAUAUCUUCCAUGCUGAUGGUACCUGUGGACCAGCACAGGUGUACGUUCCAGAUAAUUCCCACAGAGCCAGUCAUUCUUUUUUGU
This is a long non-coding RNA of Rhineura floridana, 723 nucleotides long. RefSeq lists it as uncharacterized. The transcript is spliced from 3 exons. The record is from RefSeq and is a predicted model, not a curated record. NCBI's taxonomy places the organism in Eukaryota, Metazoa, Chordata, Lepidosauria, Squamata, Rhineuridae.